This 94-nucleotide transfer RNA is filed under the name Desulfobacteraceae bacterium. Its description in RNAcentral is "tRNA-Ser". It matches the Rfam family "tRNA". From Rfam's summary of the family: Transfer RNA (tRNA) molecules are approximately 80 nucleotides in length. Their secondary structure includes four short double-helical elements and three loops (D, anti-codon, and T loops). Further hydrogen bonds mediate the characteristic L-shaped molecular structure. tRNAs have two regions of fundamental functional importance: the anti-codon, which is responsible for specific mRNA codon recognition, and the 3' end, to which the tRNAs corresponding amino acid is attached (by aminoacyl-tRNA synthetases). tRNAs cope with the degeneracy of the genetic code in two manners: having more than one tRNA (with a specific anti-codon) for a particular amino acid; and 'wobble' base-pairing, i.e. permitting non-standard base-pairing at the 3rd anti-codon position. Lineage: Bacteria; Pseudomonadati; Thermodesulfobacteriota; Desulfobacteria; Desulfobacterales; Desulfobacteraceae. The record is from RNAcentral.
GGAGAGAUGGCCGAGUAGGCUGAAGGCGCUCGCCUGCUAAGCGAGUGUUCCGCCAAAAGCGGAACCGCGGGUUCGAAUCCCGCUCUCUCCGCCA